This 1165-nucleotide long non-coding RNA is filed under the name Salmo salar (Atlantic salmon). RNAcentral describes it as "lncRNA (ENSSSAG00000094099.1)". The record is from RNAcentral. Lineage: Eukaryota; Metazoa; Chordata; Actinopteri; Salmoniformes; Salmonidae.
GUGGACUCCAAUCAAGUUGUAGAAACAUCUCAAAGAUGAUCAAUGGAAACAGGAUGCACCUGAGCUUAAUUUCGAGUCUCAUAGCAAAGGGUCUGAAUACUUAUGUAAAUAAGAUAUGACUUCCGCAAUAGGGUGGCAGAGGUCCUAGAGGUGAACAUGUCCAGGGUCACCAUCCUUCCAGGGUCUCCUCUGACCACAGUGGACGGACCAUGCCAGAAAGUCAGCUUCCUUGUCUCAGGGGAGGUGAGUACGGACAAGAUGAACUCUAUCAAAGACAGUGAGAAGAUGGGCAUCUUCAAGCAGACAGAAGGUUGCUCAAGAAGUUCUGGACAACUGCUGGAGCCUGGGAGAUAUCUGGUGAUGUUGACGAUAGCUGCAGCCUACUUCCUACACUCUCUGAUCCAGCAGUAGUUUAUACUGUAGAUCUAGGUUUGCAUCCCAAAUGGCACCCUAUUCCCCAUAUAGUGCACUACUUCUGACCAGAGACUUUUAAAACAUUUUAUUUUUUAUUUCACCUUUAUUUAACCAGGUUUGCCAGUUGAGAACAAGUUCUCAUUUACAACUGCGACCUGGCCAAGUUAAAGCAAAGCAGUGCGACACAAACAACACGGAUUUACACAUGGAAUAAACAAAUGUACAGUCAAUAACACAAUAGAAAAAAUCUAUAUACAGUGUGUGCAAAUGAGGUAAGAUUAGGGAGGUAAGGCAAUAAAUAGGCCGUAGUGGCGAAGUCAUUACAAUUUAGCAAUUAAACACUGGAGUGAUAGAUGUGCAGAAUGAAUGUGCAAGUAGAGAUACUGGGGUGCAAAGGAGCCAAAAAAUAAAUAAAAAAAUAACAAUAUGGGGAUGAGGUAGUUGGAUGGGCUAUUUACAGAUGGCCUAUGUACAGGUGCAAUGAUCUGUGAGCUGCUCUGACAGCUGAUGCUUAAAGUUAGUGAGGAAGAUAUGAGUCUCCAGCUUCAGUGAUUUUUGCAACUCAUUCCAGUCAUUGGCAGCAGAGAACUGGAAGGAAAGGCGGCCAAAGAAGGAAUUGACAUUGGGGGUGACCAGUGAAAUAUACCUGCUGGAGCGCGUGCUAUGGGUGGGUGCUGCUAUGGUGACCAGUGAGUUGAGAUAAGGCGGGGUUUUACCUAGCAAAGACUUGGGCUUUGGUCAAAAGUAGUGC